This 496-nucleotide long non-coding RNA is filed under the name Mus caroli (Ryukyu mouse). Its description in RNAcentral is "lncRNA (MGP_CAROLIEiJ_G0002387.1)". Lineage: Eukaryota; Metazoa; Chordata; Mammalia; Rodentia; Muridae. The record is from RNAcentral.
UCCACGCGCACGCGCAGGGACUCGCCCCGCCGGCUCGCGCAGGUCUUUUGCUUUCUCUUUCCGGUCUCCCUCCCCUCCCCCUCUCGGGCCCGCGGGACCACAAUGCUCCGCGCCUCUUGUCAUUGGGAGGCGCCUUAAAGUGGGGGUCACUCGGAAAGAAAAGAAUUCCAUGGAUAACAGGAAAAACCCAAGAGUUGGUGCUGUGUUCCCAACCCUAGUCCAGCACAAACCUACGAGCCAAGGCAGCCAGUAUUUGGCCAUUCGUCCAUCCAUCUGCAUAUCCCAGGGAUGCACGAACAGAGAACAGUUCAGCCUCUCGGCCGCCUUCAAUAGAGCAAUGAGAAAGAAGUUAUUUGGGGGAGACUGCUUUUCGUCAUCUGAUUCUAUAUUGACCUGAAUAAAUAAGCUUAAAUACUUCUGAAGUUCCUUCUUGAUCUGUAUAAAAGAUUCCUUGACCAAUUUAGUCCUGCUUGAAGAAAUAAAAAAGAUUAACCAU